UGGCUACUUUGAUGAGUUUAAAAUGGAACAAUAAUCACUCAGGGGGAAAAUCCUAUCUUCCAGCCUCAGGGGCAGCAAAGGAGGCCAGAAAAUCAAUCGGCAGCCCGAGCAGAAGCAGCAGCGAUGGUGGCGGGAGCGGCAGCACGCGGGGGACUAACCGCAAAGCUUCCAGUGAAGACGCCUGUGCUUCCUCCGUCGCCCUGCCCACACCUUUGUCGGCGUCUGCUGGGGGUAGGUCCUCCCGCCUCUGGGGACAGACACCACGAUGCUGAGGAGUUAGGAGCGAGCCCUCAGCCUCCCCAGCCGCCUCAAGAGGAUGCCACUCUCCCUCCCCCGUGCUUGUCACUUGGAGGAACGCGUGGUGAGACAGGGAAA
RNAcentral lists this long non-coding RNA (375 nucleotides) under Phocoena sinus (vaquita). RNAcentral describes it as "lncRNA (ENSPSNG00000015045.1)". The record is from RNAcentral. Lineage: Eukaryota; Metazoa; Chordata; Mammalia; Artiodactyla; Phocoenidae.